Ostrea edulis (European flat oyster) is the source of this 5430-nucleotide RNA transcript. RefSeq lists it as uncharacterized. The record is from RefSeq and is a predicted model, not a curated record. Lineage: Eukaryota; Metazoa; Mollusca; Bivalvia; Ostreida; Ostreidae. The transcript is spliced from 23 exons.
CGCAUGUUUACUAGAACUACUCAUUUUAUUGCAUGUUUGAAACAUGUCUUCCAAAGCAGAAAUAGUAGAUCAAUUGAAGGCAGCAGUAACUAACGGUAGGACGGACAUACUGCGGUCUAUCAUAUCAGCAGUAGAGAAAGAUAAAGAUUUAUACAGUCCAACAUUGUUAAGAGAUAUUUUGAAUGAAGUAUGUUGCGAGGAGGGAACACUUCUUCAUUUAUCUUCAAAGCUAGGAAAUGUAGAUAUGGUACGAACAUUACUGUCAGCAAAUGCUGAUCCAGGAAUCCAUAAUGAUGCAGGAAAAACUGCGUAUGACUUGGUUGAUGAUGAAAAUGUUCGUAUGGUUUUUAGUGAGGAACUUCUUCAAGCGACAGCACAGUCAAAAUUAGGGCGUGUCUGUCAGCUGUUUGCUUCGGGGGUGGAUGUGAACCUGAUUGACAGUGAAGAGAGUCAAAACACCCCGCUCCACUGGGCCGCUUCGUUUGGAAACAGAGCUGUUAUACAGUGCCUUUGUACUCGUGGUGCUGAUGUGAGAGCUGUGAAUGCUAACGGAUGUACUCCACUCCAUGAUGCUGUCAAGAGAGGGGAUGCUCAAGCUGUUACAGAGCUGUUAAUGCAUAACUCAGACCCCAUGGCCAAGGUCACAUGUGGGAAAGAUGAGGGUAAGACAGCUGUAGAUCUAGCAUCUGGAAAACCUCAGGUUCUAAAGGUGUUGAAUAAUCCACCCAAAGCUCUACAUGAAACUGACAAUGCAACAGGAGCUCAAUCAGGACUUCAGAAGUUGACCAUCAGGGCAGAUAGUACAUCUGAUACUUCCCUCCACUCUCCGCUGCCAAAUGGAGAUGUAAAUGGCCCUCUGUCACCCACACCUCAGCUCAAAACACCAACAUUUUCAAACAAGAUGUCAUUGGAUUCCACAUUGCAGCCUCCUAAACCAGUGGUCACAGAAGAGAAGUUAGGGUUACUUUGGCCGCAACCCCAAAGCAUCAUACAGAGAGAUGGAAAACCAUUUACAUUAGAUAAUCAGCUUCCAGUGUAUGUUUCAACAGGUCCCAAGGAGAGUUCCAAAGAAGUGUUAAGGAUAUGGCAGAUCCGAAAGUCCACUUUUGAGAUGCUUAGUCUUAAUAUGACAGUAGACAUUUUUACUCAGCUUUCUAAUUUCUCUGUACCCCACAUUCUAUGUUGUGUCAACAACCAAGUCUGUCCAGGCUGUGCAUUGUACAAACUGUCCAUCUCAUCAAGUCAGAUCAAGAUAGUAUGUAGCGAUAUACUCAGUCUGCACUAUGCAAUAGCAACAGUCUUUCAAUUAUUUUCACUGUACAAGGAUGAGAAAAUCCAUAUACCGCCAUUGCUGAUCGACGAUUGGCCAGACAUUCAUUACAGAGGAAUUCUACUGGAUAUUUCCCAGGGGAGAUUACUCAUGAAGGAUUCACUUAAAAGUGUUAUAGACACAUUAUCUCUGAAUAAGAUUAACAUGAUUCAAAUAUACUGUAGGUUUACAAAGAAAGACGAGCCUGGGUGGCAGGCACCUUACUCCAAAAGCUCUCUGUGUGACUUAGAUAACUACUGUAGUGACCGAGGCAUUCAGAUGGUGCCAGUCUUAGAUGUGAUGCCACAGAUCCAGUAUGAAGACCUGGAUGAUCUUUAUCCCACAUUGCAGGAUUUCAUAUCUAUCUUCCAGAAUGCUCAAUUUGUCAGUCUGGGUCCGAGACUGAGUAGCUUCGUCUUGGAUACAGAUGAUGGUAACCUGGAUAUCAGUGAUUCCAUGAAGCUGCUCCCGCUCCACGGAGAUAAAACCAUCCAGAUCUGUGGCUAUCCUCUCCAUGGACUGGAUACCAAAUUGUUGUUUGACAUUCCGCCUAACGUACUUAUCAAUGAAUAUGGGAUAGAGGCAGACUAUGAAUUUAGAAGAUUUUGCACUCCUUUAUCAGAGAAAGGUGUGGGUUUCUUCCUUUGUCCUGGAACAUCUGCAUGGAACAGUAUUGCAGGAUGUCCUGAGGCAGCUAUAAAAAAUAUUUACAAUGCUGUGAAAUGUGGGGUGACUCACGGCUGUACUGGGAUAGUGGUCUGUGAUUGGUCAGGAAAAGGACACCUAAACAGUCACACAUUCUCCUGGCCAGCAUACAUGUUAACUGUUGGAUUAUCUUGGAAUUCAAAUUGUCACCAGGACUUUCUGUUUUCCAACCUGGGGGAGCUGAUGAACCAGCAUGUGUUUUGUGAUAAAAAAUCCAUAGCUGGCCAUGUUGUAGUAGAACUUGGCAGGGCAGAGACUUACCUAAUCCGAUGCGCCAGGGCACAGGCAGCUGGGGAUAUUCAGAGGUUGCCUGAUGCUUUGGGGUCCACACUCUUUAAAUUUCUUAUGGCCCCUGACACAGUAUCUAUAGAGCACCUGUCUAUAGAGGCCGUACAGCGUACAGUCCGCCAUAUCAGAAAGUGUCAACAGGAGUUGAGCAAUGCGGACCCCCAGUGUCAGGAGAGAGGGGAGCUGAUGUCAGAAUUAAACCUGGCAUGUGAAUUCAUGCUACUGGCCACCAGAAUAUGCCGCUCCCUCCUUAUAACGGGGAAGAAUCCGAGUGGAAGUUCGGGUUAUGCUGCCAUUAAUCUUGGCAUUAACAACCUAACAGCAACUGUAAAGACUGACAUAGCAAACAGGUAGGUGGGGUGCUGUUUGUGCGCAAAUAAAUGUCCAUGCAUUGGUGACUUAGGGAAACCAAUGUAUAAUAGACAUCCAUUUGAUUUAUUAAGAUUUUUGCAAAAAACUAUGACAUCACAUGAGGAUCGAUCAACCUUAAGCUGGACUCUGUCUUUUCAACCAAGGGGAUCAGGCUAAUUACAACCAAACUUGCCACAAAGCAUGCUUUGGUAAUGAGGAUUCAAGUAUGUUUAAAUGAAGAACCACAUCUUUUUUCGAGGGAAGAUAAUUAUAAGAUUUAGCGAUAGUUUUGUGGCAUCUUUUAAAAUUCUUCUCCAGACCAUUAGGCCAAUGUCACUCAAACUUAAAACAAAUUAUUCUUGGGUAAAGGGGAUUGAAGAUUAUUCAAGUGAAGGGUCAUGCUCCCUUCAAAGGAGGAUAAUCAUGAAAAGACAAAAAUAGGGUGGGGUCAUUUAAAAAUAUUUUCAUAAAACACUGGGCCAGAAAAGAUAUAUAGAUAAUAUAUUUAAAAAAUCUUCUCGAGCACUGCAGGGACAUGAUUAGUCAUAUUAAUAUGCAAGCAUCCCCAGAUAAUGCAGAUUCUAAUCUAUUCAAAGUGUUGGUAGGUUGGAGCCACGAUAGGGAUCAAAGUGUUACGUAAGAAUUUGUAGGAAAGGAUCUUUAAAAAUCUUCAUCUCAACGACAGUAAAGCCAUGAUUAGUCAUAUUAAUGUGCAAAUUAACAUCUACAGGUAGUUUAAAUUUAAGUUUGUUCAAUUCAAGGGCUACAAUAAAAGAUAAAAGUUUUUUUAUACAGGGAAUUAAUUAAAACUAACUCUUUUCAAGAGUAGCAGGACUACACUAAUCAUAUCCAAAUGCAAAUAUUCCAAAGUUGUUUGGGUCUAAGGUUCUUGAUAUGUCCCCGCAACUACAUGUAUAGUUGGGGUGCAUAUUGUUUUUGUCCGGUCUGUCUGAAUGGUGAGUGAUAGGCUCUCAUAUUUCCAUUCCUGGUGACAAAACCUUUCCAUGGCGCCAAAGUUUUUAACAUUGUGACCACCAAACAUGGUGAGUUAAUGCAUCUUGGGUUGAAGGUGUGUUGUGACCCAAAAGUUGGUCAACAUGGCAUUGCAAAUGACAGUGUCACAACUUGUGGCUUCAAACAUGCAAUCAUAGAUAUGUAUCAUGUACCCAAUCAAUGCACUUUAUUUAAAAGGAAAUGGUUUAGUUGGAUGUUAAUCCUUAAUUUGAUUACUACUGCAUCACUGAACACAUUAGAUGGACAUGUUUUGUUGUGUGAGUGUAGGUUGCUUCUGUUUAACUGGAACUUGGUAUUUUAACUGAUCAUUUGAUGCCAUUAACUGAUUAAUGAUUUUGAAACCAGAAAUGUCCUGAUUGCUUUAAAAUGAAGCAUCUGUGCAGAGAUUGUGGAUAAAUUUACGCAUGGGUGACAUUUACAGUAUGAUGUGCAUGUCUGAAUUAACUUUCAAAUGUAUAUCGUGUAAGAAUGAUUUUUGAAAUAUAGAUAUGUUUAGAUUAGCCGCAGUAUCUAGCAAAAGUGUAGCUAUGUUAGGGCAACCAUUUACUCGUUUCUCUGGUUCGUCAACAAUUACAAGUGUCAAAAUUCCAGACUAGUUGUAGAAUCUUUUUCUCGAUAUGUAUGUAGAUGUUCACAUCUUCAAAGCCUUCUGUGCAUUGCUCACGACAACAGAGAGAUGAUGGAAGUUGGAGAUGUAAUUCACAACUCCUUGUUUUCCUUUCAUGUUUAAAUCACUGGAUUUGUAUGAAGAUGUACUAAAUCAAGCUGUAUUUUUUUGCAGGAUUUUAGAAUUAAUGGAACCACAUAAGGCAGCUUGGAACAGCCAUUACCUGUCCUCUAUCGGUCUUCAGGAAUCCCUCGGGGUGUUUCAAAAUUUACUGAGGUCUCUCCUGCCCAAUCAAGACACAACACAGCUGAUGAAUCGGGGACAGAUACAAACUGUUUAAUGUAUUUACUCACCACCCCUGUGUGAAUAGACUUGAACUGCACAGUGCAUAAUUUUUUGUCAUUUUCAUGCAUACUAAUUCACCUAUUUUAAAAAACCGACACACUCUUCAUUAUCAUACAUUGUGAUUUGUAGCAUGUGAUAUUUUUUCAAAUGUCAUACAAAGUAUGAUUAAGGAAUAUACAUGAUCAAUGAAUACAUGGAUAUAUGAGUAUGCUAUUCAGUCACUCAUGUACAAUGUAGGAUGUCGAUGUGAAAAUUUUAUUUGAUUUAUUCAGAUAUGAUACUACUACCGUGUUAAUGCGAGUACUGUAUGCAUGAGGCUGUCAAGUGUGAUACUAUUACAUGGAAACCAACAGUGGGGACUGCUUUUUGUAUUUUGUUUUAAAAUUUAUCUUUUUGUGGAAAAUAUCUUUUAUUACAUGGUUUAAAAGUUUUAUAUUUGAUAGCUUGAAUUGAAACUUCUAAAUGGUUUUUCUUCUUCUUCCAACUGUGUUAUUUAGCAUAACCAAGCUUUAAUCUUACAUGUAUUUGUUUACAUAGUAAAAUAAUUGUUAUUGUGAAAUUUGAUUAAGGUGUAUUAAUGUAUUUUAAAAAUCAAUCUUGGUUGCAUUUGUUCUGGUAUAUUUUGUUAACUUGUGAUAAUAAAGAAAACUAUUUGGUGCAGCAUUGUUUAUUAAGAUCUGAUACAUGUAUGUAUUUUUAGAUUGGUUUUGUAUUUGUAUAAAAAUGUUCUGACAUGGUGAUAUUUAUGUUUACAGGUCAUGUAUAUCUUAACUAACCUUGUAUAAAUAAAUUGGGACAAUUCUAUAUAAAA